GGGUGUGUGGUGGAAUUGGCAGACACAGAGGACUUAAAAUCCUCCGGCAUUGCGUCCGUGCGGGUUCGACUCCCGCUAUGCCCACCA
This 87-nucleotide transfer RNA is filed under the name compost metagenome. RNAcentral's name for it is "tRNA-Leu". It matches the Rfam family "tRNA". From Rfam's summary of the family: Transfer RNA (tRNA) molecules are approximately 80 nucleotides in length. Their secondary structure includes four short double-helical elements and three loops (D, anti-codon, and T loops). Further hydrogen bonds mediate the characteristic L-shaped molecular structure. tRNAs have two regions of fundamental functional importance: the anti-codon, which is responsible for specific mRNA codon recognition, and the 3' end, to which the tRNAs corresponding amino acid is attached (by aminoacyl-tRNA synthetases). tRNAs cope with the degeneracy of the genetic code in two manners: having more than one tRNA (with a specific anti-codon) for a particular amino acid; and 'wobble' base-pairing, i.e. permitting non-standard base-pairing at the 3rd anti-codon position. The record is from RNAcentral.